RNAcentral lists this ribosomal RNA (454 nucleotides) under uncultured bacterium. Its description in RNAcentral is "bacterial SSU rRNA". It matches the Rfam family "Bacterial small subunit ribosomal RNA", at positions 340 to 786 of the family's 1533-position model. The record is from RNAcentral.
UACGGAAGGCAGCAGUGGGGAAUAUUGCACAAUGGGCGCAAGCCUGAUGCAGCCAUGCCGCGUGUAUGAAGAAGGCCUUCGGGUUGUAAAGUACUUUCAGCGGGGAGGAAGGGAGUAAAGUUAAUACCUUUGCUCAUUGACGUUACCCGCAGAAGAAGCACCGGCUAACUCCGUGCCAGCAGCCGCGGUAAUACGGAGGGUGCAAGCGUUAAUCGGAAUUACUGGGCGUAAAGGGCACGCAGGCGGUUAAUUAAGUUGGAUGUGAAAUCCCCGGGCUUAACCUGGGAAUGGCAUUCAAGACUGGUUAGCUAGAGUCUUGUAGAGGGGGUAGAAUUCCAUGUGUAGCGGUGAAAUGCGUAGAGAUGUGGAGGAAUACCGGUGGCGAAGGCGGCCCCUGGACAAAGACUGACGCUCAUGUGCGAAAGCGUGGGGAGCGAAACAGGGAUUAGAUACC